AGUGGAAUAACUGGAUCAAAUGAUGGUUCCAUUCCAUAUUUUAAGAGGAAUCUUCAUACUGCUUUCCAGAGUGGUUGCACCAAUUUGCAAUCCCACCAGCAAU
RNAcentral lists this microRNA precursor (103 nucleotides) under Marmota monax (woodchuck). Lineage: Eukaryota; Metazoa; Chordata; Mammalia; Rodentia; Sciuridae. The record is from RNAcentral.